RNAcentral lists this ribosomal RNA (522 nucleotides) under uncultured bacterium. RNAcentral's name for it is "bacterial SSU rRNA". It matches the Rfam family "Bacterial small subunit ribosomal RNA", at positions 26 to 518 of the family's 1533-position model. The record is from RNAcentral.
CGAGGACGAACGCUGGCGGCGUGCCUAAUACAUGCAAGUGGAACGCAUGAUUGAUACCGUAGCUUGCUACACCAUUAAUCAUGAGUCGCGAACGGGUGAGUAACGCGUAGGUAACCUGCCUACUAGCGGGGGAUAACUAUUGGAAACGAUAGCUAAUACCGCAUAAGAGUUUUUAACGCAUGUUAGAAAUUUAAAAGGAGCAAAUGCUUCACUAGUAGAUGGACCUGCGUUGUAUUAGCUAGUUGGUAAGGUAACGGCUUACCAAGGCGACGAUACAUAGCCGACCUGAGAGGGUGAUCGGCCACACUGGGACUGAGACACGGCCCAGACUCCUACGGGAGGCAGCAGUAGGGAAUCUUCGGCAAGUGGGGGGAACCCUGACCGAGCAACGCCGCGUGAGUAGAAGAAGGUUUUCGGAUCGUAAAGCUCUGUUGUAAGAGAAGAACGUUGAGUAGAGUGGAAAGUUACUCAAGUGACGGUGUCUUACCAGAAAGGGACGGCUAACUACGUGCCAGCCGCAGC